RNAcentral lists this long non-coding RNA (497 nucleotides) under Canis lupus familiaris (dog). Its description in RNAcentral is "lncRNA (ENSCAFG00040014400.1)". The record is from RNAcentral. Lineage: Eukaryota; Metazoa; Chordata; Mammalia; Carnivora; Canidae.
UAAUGGAGUCCAGGCGCUCGCGUCACAGGAAAUGCCUAUACUGCCCUCCUCACUCACUUCCGGUGGCAGUUCAUUUUUCAAGAUUUGCCUCGUUCGGGGGCCUCAUCAAGGGAGCCUUUCCUGACUUCCAGCCUCCUGGCCCUCCGUUCUGUUGACUCUUCUGGUGCCCGUCCCUGACGCUUGGGCCGGGAGACAUGCUGAGGAAUGCUUCCUCUGGGGUUUCGACCGGCACGGCUAUUUGUCAUGGCCUCAGAAGCUGCUUGGCUACAGAGACCUGGAAGCUUGGGGAUCUCAAGAUACACCUUGACCAGUGGAGUCUGUCUGAGCCUUGUGUAACCUUGUCACGAUGUACCAGUUUAGUGGAUGAGGUCAUUCAAAUCACAGAAAAAAGUCGCCUUCACCUGCCUGUCAGAAUGCAUGGAAAUCACAAAUCUGGGGUCGUACCUGGAUAUCGAGAACAUCGUCUGGGAGCAUUGAACCCUUCCUACCCCUCCCUC